RNAcentral lists this ribosomal RNA (487 nucleotides) under uncultured Verrucomicrobiota bacterium. RNAcentral describes it as "bacterial SSU rRNA". It matches the Rfam family "Bacterial small subunit ribosomal RNA", at positions 53 to 517 of the family's 1533-position model. Lineage: Bacteria; Pseudomonadati; Verrucomicrobiota. The record is from RNAcentral.
ACAUGCAAGUCGAACGAGACUUUUCGUUGUAGCAAUACGAUGGAAAGUUUAGUGGCGAACGGGUGUUUAACACGUGGGCAACCUGCCAUGAAGUGGGGGAUAGCUCGCCGAAAGGCGAAUUAAUACCGCAUGUGAUUAGAAAGGACAUCCUUUCGAAAUUAAAGUCGGGGCAACCUGACGCUUCUUGUGGGGCCCGCGGCCUAUCAGCUAGUUGGUGAGGUAACGGCUCACCAAGGCUUUGACGGGUAGCUGGUCUGAGAGGACGACCAGCCACACUGGGACUGAGACACGGCCCAGACACCUACGGGUGGCAGCAGUCGAGAAUUUUUGACAAUGGGGGAAACCCUGAUCGAGCAACGCCGCGUGGAGGAUGAAGAUUUUCGGAUCGUAAACUCCUGUCGAAUGGGACGAACAGAUUGCGGGUGAACAGCCCGUAGUCCUGGCGGUACCGUUAAAGGAAACCCCGGUUACUCCGUGCCAACAGCCG